RNAcentral lists this long non-coding RNA (1427 nucleotides) under Daphnia pulicaria. RNAcentral describes it as "uncharacterized LOC124337351, transcript variant X2". Lineage: Eukaryota; Metazoa; Arthropoda; Branchiopoda; Diplostraca; Daphniidae. The record is from RNAcentral.
UUGCUCUGUCAAAUCUGUUGCCAUGGUGGUUUCAGAAGAUCUUUUCCCACAAGAACUUGCCUCGUGUGGUCCUAAAAGUCAUUACUGAUUUAUUUUUUAUUUUUCCAAACAAGAAUGUCUUGCAACGACGUAGAUGAAUACACAAUGUACCUUCAGUUGUACAAAUGGUACAAACAGGAUUGUGUUGAGAUGGGAAAGGUUCCCAAAGAAUUAAUAUCGUUUCUCGGACAGUUAAAAGCAAAAGCUCGUGGCCCUGGUGACGAUAGUCAGUUGAAGGGAAACUUAACUGAAUCGCAAGAAAGUAAACCAUCUUUGGUCUCAGUCUUGGAACCUCCUUGUCCUUCACCGAUGACAACCAAAUUUGAUAAUGUUGCUGCACAUUUUACAACCAGCUCAUCCUUUGGUCAUUCAGCAUUGAAUCCAAAAUCUGCUAACAGAGCCACAAAUUGUCCAGCCUUAGAUGGCAUCAAACGAAAGCUGAGAACCAUUGAAGGGAAAAGUGUUCCUACAGUUAAGAAAAGAUGCAUAAACACAUCCACAUUUACAUUACAUGUAUUUGUGUUCCCACACUUCGGCUGGUUAGGAAGUACAGCCACUACAGGAGAAAAGGCAGACUUUUGUGACAUGUUUUACAGAGCUGGGCUCUGGAGAUAAGGGAGCUGGAAACAUCAUUCCUGGCGGUGCCACACUGCUUUUUGAUGUCGAGUUGAUGGGCAUCAACCAGGCCCCACCUCCCCAGAAUGUUUUCAAACAGAUUGACAGUGAUUCCAACAACCAGUUGUCGAAAGAAGAGAUUACAUAAAAAAGCACAUUUUCCCAACUGAGAAAGCUGAAGAGGUCCCUGCUGAAGAAGGAGCACCGCAGCAGCAAGAUCCUCUCAAGAUUACUGAAGAGAUCUUCCAGCACGAAGAUCACGACCGAGAUGGCUACAUCUCGUUCGAAGAAUUCUACGGACCGCACGAUGAACUCCAAGUCUUCCAUUCUCGCGAUCCAGUUUAAAUCUCAGGUGCGGAGAAUCGAGAUUUUUAAUAUCGAAUUUUCCUAAUAAAUUAGAAUAAUUUUGUUUUCUUUUCAAAUAUAGAAUUAGCUCUCUCAACCGGCCAUAACAAAAUGCAAUUCCAUAUUGUUCUCUUUGUUGUUAUGUCUAAACCUCACUACCUGUUUCUGUACUCGUGUUAUUCGCCCACAUGAAUUAAAUGUGUUGUUCAACCUCGAGUUGAAAAACUCAAGAAACUAUCAAGAAAAUCGAUUAAUUAUCUUGUAAACUAUAAAACAUUUUUACAAAUAUUCCAUGUAAAUCUUUGUUUUAUCCUAAAUUACUCUUCUUUACUUAAGAUUCGGUUAAUCAGUGCUAUAUACUCGUUUGCCAGUUGUUUAUUAUGUUUUUAUUUGUCGGAUUGAAUUCAGAAAUAUAGGCGUUGAUCAUU